AGAAAAAUUAUAACAAAAUUUCCUGAGGAGUUUGGGAAAUAAUCUUGGUGGAUCCCGCCACGGAUACUGUUCGGAUUGAAGCUGCUGGGGCUUUGGAACAAUUAUUAUCCCCGCAACCACUCUCCGGUCCAAGAUACAGCUGUCAAAAGGUGCUCUGCGUUCCGGGAAAAGGUUUCCCGGAAGGUCUACUUGUCGUCAGCAGCCCCUGUUGGAGGAGACACAGGUGACGAGAGUUCGACCGGAAAAUGCGAGGUGGCCAAGACCGGAUUCCUUAGCACAGAUCCAGUUGCGGAUCAGGACCGGAAUCUUCCAGUUCUGCGGUCAACACAGGUGCGCAAAACCAAAGAUGAUCAUUUCCUCGGAAGUGGAUGGAAAAAUCAAAUAAAAAAUGUAGUGAAAGGGAGCAGACCAAAAAAA
Culex quinquefasciatus (southern house mosquito) is the source of this 417-nucleotide long non-coding RNA. RefSeq lists it as uncharacterized. The record is from RefSeq and is a predicted model, not a curated record. The transcript has 2 exons. Lineage: Eukaryota; Metazoa; Arthropoda; Insecta; Diptera; Culicidae.